GCUCCUCCUCCUCCUCCCUGUUCCGCCGGUUCUUCCACUGUUAGCUGAAAAUUUCUUCUUCUCAUGUUAGUGAAUGAUCAAUAUAUAUAUGCCCUAAUUUAGUAAAUUAAAUUUUGUCUGCCCUAAUUUUGAAUUCCCCUAAUUAUCAGUUAAUAUUCAAGGUUAAUGCAAGAAUUCGUAAAAAAAUUAGUAAAUAUUUCAUUCAAUGUACAUGUCAACUGAAAUUUUGAUAAUUUUGUGCCCUAAUUUGUCAUUUACCGAAAUUGGUAAUUCUGAAUAAUUGUUGAAUCUGAAAUUAGGACGUCGACAAUAGUGGAAUCUGCAUAUUGAGUUCAAUUCAAUUUGUUGAAUAUUGCAUACUGAAAUUGGAGCCUUGUCAUUCAAUUUGUUUUCUUCUGAAAUUGGGAAUCUGCAUAUUGAGUUGAAUGCUAGCUGAAAUUGGAGCCUUGUCAUUCAAUUUGUCACGUCUGAAAUUGGGAAUGUGCAUAUUGAGUUGAAUGUUAGCUAAAAUUGGAGCCUUGUCAUUCAAUUUGUCACGUCGGCUGAAACUUUUUUAUGUUACUAAUGAAUCUAAUAAUUGAUUCAAGUUGGGUUUAAUUUGUGCAAUUUUGUCAUUCAAUUUGUCACGUCGGCUGAAACUUUUUUAUGUUACUAAUGAAUCUAAUAAUUGAUUCAAGUUGGGUUUAAUUUGUGCAAUUUUCAUAUUUAUAAUUUGAUAUUGAGGCUGAUGUUAG
RNAcentral lists this long non-coding RNA (734 nucleotides) under Panax ginseng (ginseng). Its description in RNAcentral is "long non-coding RNA (PGIN_LNC013252)". The record is from RNAcentral. Lineage: Eukaryota; Viridiplantae; Streptophyta; Magnoliopsida; Apiales; Araliaceae.